AAUUUUGGACAAUGGGGGAAACCCUGAUCCAGCCAUCCCGCGUGUAUGAUGAAGGCCUUCGGGUUGUAAAGUACUUUUGGCAGAGAAGAAAAGGUACCUCCUAAUACGAGGUACUGCUGACGGUAUCUGCAGAAUAAGCACCGGCUAACUACGUGCCAUCAGCCGCGGUAAUACGUAGGGUGCAAGCGUUAAUCGGAAUUACUGGGCGUAAAGCGUGCGCAGGCGGUUUUGUAAGACAGAGGUGAAAUCCCCGGGCUCAACCUUGGAACUGCAUUUUUAACUGCCGAGCUAGAGUAUGUCAGAGGGGGGUAGAAUUCCACGUGUAGCAGUGAAAUGCGUAGAUAUGUGGAGGAAUACCGAUGGCGAAGGCAGCCCCCUGGGAUAAUACUGACGCUCAGACACGAAAGCGUGGGGAGCAAACAG
This 423-nucleotide ribosomal RNA is filed under the name uncultured bacterium. Its description in RNAcentral is "partial 16S ribosomal RNA". It matches the Rfam family "Bacterial small subunit ribosomal RNA", at positions 360 to 775 of the family's 1533-position model. The record is from RNAcentral.